ACGAACCGUCCAAACGUUAUUCGGAUUCAUUGGGCUUAAAGGGUACGUAGGCGGCGCCAUCAGUCGGGUGUGAAAGCCCUCGGCUCAACCGAGGAACUGCGCCCGAUACUGUGGUGCUUGAGGGAGACAGAGGUAAGCGGAACUGAUGGUGGAGCGGUGAAAUGCGUUGAUAUCAUCAGGAACACCGGUGGCGAAAGCGGCUUACUGGGUCUCUUCUGACGCUGAGGUACGAAAGCUAGGGGAGCGAACGGGA
This 253-nucleotide ribosomal RNA is filed under the name uncultured prokaryote. RNAcentral's name for it is "partial 16S ribosomal RNA". It matches the Rfam family "Bacterial small subunit ribosomal RNA", at positions 525 to 777 of the family's 1533-position model. The record is from RNAcentral.